RNAcentral lists this long non-coding RNA (242 nucleotides) under Gossypium barbadense (sea-island cotton). RNAcentral describes it as "long non-coding RNA (GBAR_LNC005608)". Lineage: Eukaryota; Viridiplantae; Streptophyta; Magnoliopsida; Malvales; Malvaceae. The record is from RNAcentral.
UUUACAGUUUUUGGAUCUGGCUUUUAAAUAGCCAUUACAUUUCUUUCUUUUUGCUUUCUGUCCACUCCUAUUAAUGCUUGCAGGUGCAACUUGGGCGGUGAGGUGGUGGACGUGACAGACGGUGGCAGACCUGGCACGGGGAGGCAGCAGCUAGGUUUUUUUGUCCUUUUGUUUCUGAUUUGUUAAUUUAGGCUAGGGUUAAGGUUAUUUGGGCCCGGGAGUUAUUUGGGCUUUAGUUUGGG